Ictidomys tridecemlineatus (thirteen-lined ground squirrel) is the source of this 809-nucleotide non-coding RNA. The record is from RefSeq and is a predicted model, not a curated record. Lineage: Eukaryota; Metazoa; Chordata; Mammalia; Rodentia; Sciuridae.
GCAGGCUAUUGGUGGAGAGGAAUGAAACACAAUUCAUGAGCUUUUUCUGAGAAAAAGAAUGAGAUUCAAGAGUCUGAGGGCUGUGAUGGAUCUGGAGGCAGCAGACUUACCACACCUUAGUCUUACCUGGGGUAGGGCCCAAAUAGCUGGGUUCUACUCCAUGCAGCAGAAAGCAAAGACAAGGAAGUUAUUGGAUUGGCAGCAACAAAUGAACACAUCUCUCAUUUCCAUCUCCCUCUUUUAUCAUCUCAGGAAGCAUCUGGAUUCUCCAAAACACCUGGCUUUCAGCUCUUCUAGAGUUCCAAGUCUCUUCUAGAGGAUGAUAACCUAAACUUUUUGCUUGCUCCAGUAACAAGUCCAGCUCCAGGUUUUUACAGCAUAUAACUCUAUUCCUGAUUCCUUUAUUGCUCUCUAAGCUUAUGAAAGUCUUAUGGAAUGGCUGGCCCAAUUAGGGAUAAUCACUAGGGACUAAAAUCUACACCGUGGCUCUGCUACAGUGAUGACACUCUCUGCACAGAGUAUUAGCUUGGGCCAGGGCAUUAGGGAAAGUGAGGGUUUCCCACAUGAUCCUUGUUGUUAGAGAAGGCAAAACCACUGACUGGGGGCCUAUGAUUUGUGUGAACAAGGUCAGUAUACUAGCAUUUUCAAACCAUUAUACAGAGCUCUGCUGUCUUGGACAGGAAGAGGGGUUCUGUGAAUGCACAAGCUUGGGAAAUGCUGGUCACUACCCUCCUUUUGUAGAUUUUUCACACCUUUCUGCACAUUAAGAAUUUGAGAGGACCUUUAAUAAAGAGGCUUAUUCAUUUUUG